RNAcentral lists this ribosomal RNA (506 nucleotides) under uncultured bacterium. RNAcentral describes it as "bacterial SSU rRNA". It matches the Rfam family "Bacterial small subunit ribosomal RNA", at positions 19 to 518 of the family's 1533-position model. The record is from RNAcentral.
CUGGCUCAGGAUGAACGCUAGCUACAGGCUUAACACAUGCAAGUCGAGGGGCAGCAUUGGAGUAGCAAUACUCAGAUGGCGACCGGCGCACGGGUGAGUAACACGUAUCCAACCUGCCGCUUACUCGGGGAUAGCCUUUCGAAAGAAAGAUUAAUACCCGAUGGUAUAAAGAGUUCGCAUGUUCUCUUUAUUAAAGAAUUUCGGUAAGCGAUGGGGAUGCGUUCCAUUAGAUAGUUGGCGGGUAACGGCCCACCAAGUCUACGAUGGAUAGGGGUUCUGAGAGGAAGGUCCCCCACAUUGGAACUGAGACACGGUCCAAACUCCUACGGGAGGCAGCAGUGAGGAAUAUUGGUCAAUGGACGAGAGUCUGAACCAGCCCAAGUAGCGUGAAGGAUGACUGCCCUAUGGGUUGUAAACUUCUUUUAUAAGGGAAUAAAGUGAGGGACGUGUCCCUUUUUGUAUGUACCUUAUGAAUAAGGAUCGGUUAACUCCGUGCCAGCCGCCGC